RNAcentral lists this ribosomal RNA (503 nucleotides) under uncultured bacterium. RNAcentral describes it as "partial 16S ribosomal RNA". It matches the Rfam family "Bacterial small subunit ribosomal RNA", at positions 30 to 523 of the family's 1533-position model. The record is from RNAcentral.
AUUGAACGCUGGCGGCAGGCUUAACACAUGCAAGUCGAGCGGGGUGAUGGUGCUUGCACUAUCACUUAGCGGCGGACGGGUGAGUAAUGCUUAGGAAUCUGCCUAUUAGUGGGGGACAACAUCUCGAAAGGGAUGCUAAUACCGCAUACGUCCUACGGGAGAAAGCAGGGGAUCACUUGUGACCUUGCGCUAAUAGAUGAGCCUAAGUCGGAUUAGCUAGUUGGUGGGGUAAAGGCCUACCAAGGCGACGAUCUGUAGCGGGUCUGAGAGGAGGAUCCGCCACACUGGGACGGAAGCCAGGCCCAGCCUCCUACGGGAGGCAGCAGUGGGGAAUAUUGGGAAAGGGGGGGAACCCUGAUCCAGCCAUGCCGCGUGUGUGAAGAAGGCCUUAUGGUUGUAAAGCACUUUAAGCGAGGAGGAGGCUCUUUUGGUUAAUACCCAAGAUGAGUGGACGUUACUCGCAGAAUAAGCACCGGCUAACUCUGUGCCAGCCGCCGCCGUAA